This 571-nucleotide ribosomal RNA is filed under the name Thielaviopsis radicicola. RNAcentral describes it as "LSU rRNA". It matches the Rfam family "Eukaryotic large subunit ribosomal RNA", at positions 44 to 637 of the family's 3401-position model. The record is from RNAcentral. Lineage: Eukaryota; Fungi; Ascomycota; Sordariomycetes; Microascales; Ceratocystidaceae.
CAAUAAGCGGAGGAAAAGAAACCAACAGGGAUUGCCCUAGUAACGGCGAGUGAAGCGGCAACAGCUCAAAUUUGAAAUCUGGCUACUUUGUAGUCCGAGUUGUAAUUUGUAGAGGAUGCUUUUGGUGAGGUGCCUUCCGAGUUCCCUGGAACGGGACGCCAUAGAGGGUGAGAGCCCCGUACGGUUGGAUGCCAAACCUUUGUAUAGCUCCUUCAACGAGUCGAGUAGUUUGGGAAUGCUGCUCUAAAUGGGAGGUAUAUCUCUUCUAAAGCUAAAUACCGGCUAGAGACCGAUAGCGCACAAGUAGAGUGAUCGAAAGAUGAAAAGCACUUUGAAAAGAGAGUUAAACAGCACGUGAAAUUGUUGAAAGGGAAGCGCCUAUGACCAGACUUGUCUCUAUCAGUUUUGCUAGUUUUCGGACUGGUUUACUCUGUUAGUACAGGCCAGCAUCAGUUUGUUGUUAGGGAGAAAGGCUUAGGGAAUGUGGCUCCCUCGGGAGUGUUAUAGCCCUUUGCAUAAUACCUUUCGGCAGACUGAGGACCGCGCUUCGGCAAGGAUGCUGGCGUAAUGG